GAUGAACGCUGGCGGCGUGCCUAAUACAUGCAAGUCGAGCGAACGGACGAGAAGCUUGCUUCUCUGAUGUUAGCGGCGGACGGGUGAGUAACACGUGGAUAACCUACCUAUAAGACUGGGAUAACUUCGGGAAACCGGAGCUAAUACCGGGUAAUAUUUUGAACCGCAUGGUUCAAAAGUGAAAGACGGUCUUGCUGUCACUUAUAGAUGGAUCCGCGCUGCAUUAGCUAGUUGGUAAGGCAACGGCUUACCAAGGCAACGAUGCAUAGCCGACCUGAGAGGGUGAUCGGCCACACUGGAACUGAGACACGGUCCAGACUCCUACGGGAGGCAGCAGUAGGGAAUCUUCCGCAAUGGGCGAAAGCCUGACGGAGCAACGCCGCGUGAGUGAUGAAGGUCUUCGGAUCGUAAAACUCUGUUAUUAGGGAAGAACAUAUGUGUAAGUAACUGUGCACAUCUUGACGGUACCUAAUCAGAAAGCCACGGCUAACUACGUG
RNAcentral lists this ribosomal RNA (497 nucleotides) under uncultured bacterium. Its description in RNAcentral is "partial 16S ribosomal RNA". It matches the Rfam family "Bacterial small subunit ribosomal RNA", at positions 28 to 507 of the family's 1533-position model. The record is from RNAcentral.